This 45-nucleotide non-coding RNA is filed under the name Trichobilharzia regenti. The record is from RNAcentral. Lineage: Eukaryota; Metazoa; Platyhelminthes; Trematoda; Strigeidida; Schistosomatidae.
AUCCAGAUGACGAGUCCCAAAUAGGACUAAAUACUAAUCCUGGGU